RNAcentral lists this ribosomal RNA (670 nucleotides) under uncultured Rhodocyclaceae bacterium. RNAcentral's name for it is "bacterial SSU rRNA". It matches the Rfam family "Bacterial small subunit ribosomal RNA", at positions 68 to 733 of the family's 1533-position model. The record is from RNAcentral. Lineage: Bacteria; Pseudomonadati; Pseudomonadota; Betaproteobacteria; Rhodocyclales; Rhodocyclaceae.
GGCAGCACGGGGGCAACCCUGGUGGCGAGUGGCGAACGGGUGAGUAAUGCAUCGGAACGUGUCCUCUUGUGGGGGAUAACCAGUCGAAAGACUGGCUAAUACCGCAUGAGAUCGAAAGAUGAAAGCGGGGGACCGCAAGGCCUCGCGCGAGAGGAGCGGCCGAUGCCGGAUUAGCUAGUUGGUGGGGUAAUGGCCCACCAAGGCGACGAUCCGUAGCUGGUCUGAGAGGACGACCAGCCACACUGGGACUGAGACACGGCCCAGACUCCUACGGGAGGCAGCAGUGGGGAAUUUUGGACAAUGGGCGCAAGCCUGAUCCAGCCAUGCCGCGUGUGUGAAGAAGGCCUUCGGGUUGUAAAGCACUUUCGGACGGAACGAAAUCGCGCGGGUGAACAAUCCGCGUGGAUGACGGUACCGUAAGAAGAAGCACCGGCUAACUACGUGCCAGCAGCCGCGGUAAUACGUAGGGUGCAAGCGUUAAUCGGAAUUACUGGGCGUAAAGGGUGCGCAGGCGGCCUCGCAUGUCAGGCGUGAAAUCCCCGGGCUUAACUUGGGAAUGGCGCUUGAAACUACGAGGCUGGAGUGUGGCAGAGGGAGGUGGAAUUCCACGUGUAGCGGUGAAAUGCGUAGAGAUGUGGAGGAACACCGAUGGCGAAGGCAGCCUCCUGGG